UGGCGGCAGGCUUAACACAUGCAAGUCGAGCGGUAGCAGAUCUAGCUUGCUAGAUGCUGACGAGCGGCGGACGGGUGAGUAACGCGUAGGAACCUGCCCAGUAGUGGGGGAUAGCCCGGGGAAACUCGGAUUAAUACCGCAUACGCUCUACGGAGGAAAGAGGGGGCUUCGGCUCUCGCUAUUGGAUGGGCCUGCGUGAGAUUAGCUAGUUGGUGAGGUAAUGGCUCACCAAGGCGACGAUCUCUAGUUGGUCUGAGAGGAUGAUCAGCCACACUGGGACUGAGACACGGCCCAGACUCCUACGGGAGGCAGCAGUGGGGAAUAUUGCACAAUGGGCGCAAGCCUGAUGCAGCCAUGCCGCGUGUGUGAAGAAGGCUUUCGGGUUGUAAAGCACUUUCAGUGGGGAGGAAGGCCUCGUAGUUAAUAGCUGCGAGGAUUGACGUUACCCACAGAAGAAGCACCGGCUAACUCCGUG
This 475-nucleotide ribosomal RNA is filed under the name uncultured bacterium. RNAcentral's name for it is "bacterial SSU rRNA". It matches the Rfam family "Bacterial small subunit ribosomal RNA", at positions 37 to 507 of the family's 1533-position model. The record is from RNAcentral.